UACGAAGGGGGCUAGCGUUGCUCGGAAUGACUGGGCGUAAAGGGCGCGUAGGCGGCGGUCACAGUCAGAUGUGAAAUUCCUGGGCUUAACCUGGGGGCUGCAUUUGAUACGUGGUUGCUUGAGUGGGGAAGAGGGUCGUGGAAUUCCCAGUGUAGAGGUGAAAUUCGUAGAUAUUCGCAAGAACACCAGUGGCGAAGGCGGCUCACUGGCCCGGAACUGACGCUGAGACGCGAAAGCGUGGGGAGCAACAGGG
RNAcentral lists this ribosomal RNA (253 nucleotides) under uncultured bacterium. RNAcentral's name for it is "partial 16S ribosomal RNA". It matches the Rfam family "Bacterial small subunit ribosomal RNA", at positions 524 to 776 of the family's 1533-position model. The record is from RNAcentral.